Molecule: ribosomal RNA, 460 nt
Filed under: uncultured bacterium
Lineage: Bacteria
Description: partial 16S ribosomal RNA
Rfam family: Bacterial small subunit ribosomal RNA
Source: RNAcentral
CCUACGGGUGGCAGCAGUGAGGAAUAUUGGUCAAUGGACGAGAGUCUGAACCAGCCAAGUCGCGUGAAGGAUGACUGCCCUAUGGGUUGUAAACUUCUUUUAUAUGGGAAUAAAAUGUUCCACGUGUGGGAUUUUGUAUGUACCAUAUGAAUAAGGAUCGGCUAACUCCGUGCCAGCAGCCGCGGUAAUACGGAGGAUCCGAGCGUUAUCCGGAUUUAUUGGGUUUAAAGGGAGCGUAGGUGGAUUGUUAAGUCAGUUGUGAAAGUUUGCGGCUCAACCGUAAAAUUGCAGUUGAAACUGGCAGUCUUGAGUACAGUAGAGGUGGGCGGAAGUCGUGGUGUAGCGGUGAAAUGCUUAGAUAUCACGAAGAACUCCGAUUGCGAAGGCAGUUCACUGGACUGCAACUGACACUGAGGCUCGAAAGUGUGGGUAUCAAACAGGAUAAGAUACCCGGGUAGUC